Small nuclear RNA from Paramormyrops kingsleyae, 118 nucleotides. Its record names the gene U5. It matches the Rfam family "U5 spliceosomal RNA". From Rfam's summary of the family: U5 RNA is a component of both types of known spliceosome. The record is from Ensembl. Lineage: Eukaryota; Metazoa; Chordata; Actinopteri; Osteoglossiformes; Mormyridae.
UAACUCUGGUUUCUCUUCAAAGCGCAUAAAUCUUUCGCCUUUUACUAAAGAUUUCCGUGCAGAGAAACGCGCAUGAGUAUCAGAUAAUUUUUCUCUUGCCCUGUCUUACGGUGGGGCU